This 2787-nucleotide long non-coding RNA is filed under the name Chinchilla lanigera (long-tailed chinchilla). Its description in RNAcentral is "lncRNA (ENSCLAG00000026326.1)". The record is from RNAcentral. Lineage: Eukaryota; Metazoa; Chordata; Mammalia; Rodentia; Chinchillidae.
GCCUGGGAGGCCACUGCCAACAUUUGCUGGACAGCCCAGAUCUGGACCCUACUGGACGCCUGGUGUGACAUUUCAUGUGCUACUUGGCUUUCAGGAUGUACUCUUCCGGAGACAGUCGCAGGUCCAAAGCCAUCACCAGUGUGUAUCAUCUCCAGAAAUGUGUGAGUGACUUCCUCCGUCACACCACGCCGGGUACUGACUGUCACAAUUUAUUUAAACUUUUGUGGGUUUCUUAGGUUUAAAAAAGGUGUUUAGUGGUGCUGGCAGACCCAUAGACCAAGUUUUCAGGAUAGCAGCCAGCGAAACCUGCCCCACUCAGCGCCCGCGUUCCAUCUCCAGGGGCCUCCCACACCUGCUCCUGCUCCGAGAAAGGCAGGACCCGAACCGGAAGAGAGCAAGUCCCGCUCUGCGCAUCCACCAUCAGCUGAAGAAGUAAAACGCUGGACAUAAAAUCCAGGUCUCUGUGCUCUCCAAGAUUGUCUCGUUAUCUUGCCCAAAGAUAAUCGUCCUCAACUUGGUAUUUAUUAUUCCAGUGAAUGUUAUCUGAUUUUUAACAGUAAGGAGUAGUCUUUUGAAUGUUUCAGGCUUCACAUACAAGAUAAUCACACUGUACUAUUUCACAGCUUUGCUGGCAGUGUUAGGGUUGAGGUCUUCAUCUGUGUGGAAUUUAUUUACUUAUUUAUUUAGGCCCUGGGGAUUGAACUCAGAGCCUUCUCAUUGCUCUACAUCUCCAGUUCUUUUUAAAAAAUUUUAAAUUUUGAGACAGGAUCUCCCUAAGUCACUAAAUUGCUUAGGCUGGGCUUGAACUUGUGACCCUCCUGCCUCCAGUCUCUCAGAGUGCUGGGAUUACAGACAUAUGCCAUCCUGCCUGGCAAAGGGUUAUUCUUAUUUUUAUCUUUUAUUUUGAAUAGUAAGCCUUUGUUAGUUAUAUGCUUUGCAAAUAUCUUUACUAGUGUUGUCUUUUAGCAUAAUUCAUGAUACGUUAUGUGCAGAAAUUUUCAAUUUUGAAGUAGUUAAAUGUAAAUUUUUAUGUUUUGUUUUAAAAACCUCCCUUUCUGUGUUGUUUAGAUAUUCUUUCUUUUACUCACAAUCUUAAAGAUAGUCUCUUAUAUUGUCCUCUAAUUUGUCUUAAAGCUUUGAAUUUCUAUUUAGAUAUUUGAUGAAUCUGAAAUGGAUUUUUGCAUGUGUUGUGAGAUGGGGUGUUGUAUGAUAUGGUAUGCAACCAUCUGAUGAGGUACUAUAUGAUACGAGUUAUUCCAGCACAUUUACUGACUAGUUGAUAUUUACCCCACUGAUCUGAAAUACCAGAUCUGUCAUAUAUUUAUUAUGUUCCCACAUAUCAGUGGGUCUGUACCUAGAAUUACUCCUUUUUUCUUCAAAUCAAAUUACUUAUAUAUUUACCAAACUGUGUGGCUUUACUAUUAUUUUACAAUAAAUUUUUACAUCUAAUGAAGUAUGUCUCCCUGCCUUGCUCUGCUUCAUAAAUGCCUUGAUUAUUUUUAACUCCUAUGUAAAAUCUGCAAGCAAGCCGUUAAGUUUCACAAAACUACCGUUGGCAUUUUUAUUGGAAUUCCAUUGAAUUAAUUAACUUGAGAAUUUGGAAAUGUUUAAAACAUCUACUUUUCUCAUCUAUUGACUGAGAUUUUCUUUAAUGUCUUUCAGUAAAGCUUUAUAAUUUUUUCCAAAUAGGUUUUUGCACAAAAAAUUUUUAGGUGUAUUCAUAACUAUCUUGCAGUCUGGGUGCUAUAGUAGAUGUAUUUUUAUGUUUUCUAAUUUUUCAGCAAUGGUGGGUGACAGGGACCACAAACUGUGGCCCGUGGGUCUGAUCUAGCUUGCUACCUAUUUUUGUAAGUAAGCUGUUACUAAAACACAGUUAUGCCCAUUUCUUUACAUGUUAUGUAUGGCUGGUUUUACACUACAGUGGCAAAGUUGAACAGUUAAGGUAGAGACCAUAAGGCCUGCAAAGUUUAAAAUCUUUACUACCUGGCUCUUACAGAAAAGAAUUUGUUGACCCUAGUGUACAGGAAUAUCAUUGGCUUUAUACAUAUAUUCAAAUAACCCAGUCGAAUUCUCUUAGUGCUAAUGGUCUCUUAGUCUGUCGUGUAUACUGUCAUAUUUUCUAUGAUUAAUGAUAGUUUUGUUUUCCCUUCCAGAUUAUGUUAGCUUGCUCCUUAUGAGCAAUGUUUAGUGGAAAUAGUGAUAACUGACCACCUAUCUUUCUUCCUGACUUUAAAGAAAAUGCUUCUAACAUUUUACCACCGUUAAGUAUCAGAGUUUCUUCCAAUUUUUGGUAAAUACCAUAUAUGCUGUUAAGGAAAUUCUUUUCAAUUUCCUGUUUUUAGUUUUAAGGGUUGUUUUAUAGUCAUCAGUGGGUGCUGUGUUUAUCGAAUAUUUUCCCCCAAACCUAUUCUCCACCUAUUAUCAUGGGUUUUCUUUUGAUUCUUUGACUACUGUGUAUUACAGCAUAAAAAAACAUUAGAACAAUAAAAUCUACUGUGUUUUUCAUCCUGUUUUCUGAUUUCCUUUUUCUUUCAUUCUUCCACAGUGAGACCUCGGUUUCACUCAGCCCUAUGAAGUCACCCAGUUAAAAGCAGUAUCCCAUUGUCCGCUGCCUUCUCCCAGAGUCACUUCCUGGAGUCACCAAGCGCUAGAGUGCUACGAGGGGCACUUAGCCAACAGUUAAUGUAAGCCGAGGCCUUAGGGUUUGAGAGAUUAGGGCUCUACAGCCUACCACAGUGGUCUAAGAGUUUGGUUCCUCGGGUAAAACACUUUGCACUUAGAGCUCCG